Non-coding RNA from Chelonoidis abingdonii (Abingdon island giant tortoise), 153 nucleotides. The record is from RefSeq and is a predicted model, not a curated record. Lineage: Eukaryota; Metazoa; Chordata; Testudines; Testudinidae.
AGCGCCAGGUUUAAUUUUUAAAGCAAAUUUUACUGAACAUUUUCUACCGGUGCCCAGGCAAAUUUCCGUCUAUGCAGAGCCCUUCCCUUCUAUGGUGACAAUGAAUGCACAAUGUCAAGUAACACACAGACUGAAACAAUUGUAACCCUUCUG